CAAAUCCUGGGCGCAGCCUGAUGCAGCCAUGCCGCGUGUGUGAAGAAGGCCUUCGGGUUGUAAAGCACUUUCAGUAAGGAGGAAAGGUUAAGUGUUAAUAGCACUUAGCUGUGACGUUACUUACAGAAGAAGCACCGGCUAACUCCGUGCCAGCAGCCGCGGUAAUACGGAGGGUGCGAGCGUUAAUCGGAAUUACUGGGCGUAAAGCGUACGCAGGCGGUUUGUUAAGCGAGAUGUGAAAGCCCCGGGCUCAACCUGGGAACUGCAUUUCGAACUGGCAAACUAGAGUGUGAUAGAGGGUGGUAGAAUUUCAGGUGUAGCGGUGAAAUGCGUAGAGAUCUGAAGGAAUACCGAUGGCGAAGGCAGCCACCUGGGUCAACACUGACGCUCAUGUACGAAA
Molecule: ribosomal RNA, 400 nt
Filed under: uncultured Pseudoalteromonadaceae bacterium
Lineage: Bacteria; Pseudomonadati; Pseudomonadota; Gammaproteobacteria; Alteromonadales; Pseudoalteromonadaceae
Description: bacterial SSU rRNA
Rfam family: Bacterial small subunit ribosomal RNA
Source: RNAcentral